RNAcentral lists this transfer RNA (87 nucleotides) under Rhodospirillales bacterium. RNAcentral's name for it is "tRNA-Leu". It matches the Rfam family "tRNA". Rfam says of the family: Transfer RNA (tRNA) molecules are approximately 80 nucleotides in length. The record is from RNAcentral. Lineage: Bacteria; Pseudomonadati; Pseudomonadota; Alphaproteobacteria; Rhodospirillales.
GCGGACGUGGUGGAAUUGGUAGACACAAGAGACUUAAAAUCUCUCGCGCUUACGCGUGUGCGGGUUCAAGUCCCGCCGUCCGCACCA